RNAcentral lists this ribosomal RNA (2902 nucleotides) under Escherichia coli. Its description in RNAcentral is "bacterial LSU rRNA". It matches the Rfam family "Bacterial large subunit ribosomal RNA". Lineage: Bacteria; Pseudomonadati; Pseudomonadota; Gammaproteobacteria; Enterobacterales; Enterobacteriaceae. RNAcentral also lists the same sequence under 1 other name. The record is from RNAcentral.
UUAAGCGACUAAGCGUACACGGUGGAUGCCCUGGCAGUCAGAGGCGAUGAAGGACGUGCUAAUCUGCGAUAAGCGUCGGUAAGGUGAUAUGAACCGUUAUAACCGGCGAUUUCCGAAUGGGGAAACCCAGUGUGAUUCGUCACACUAUCAUUAACUGAAUCCAUAGGUUAAUGAGGCGAACCGGGGGAACUGAAACAUCUAAGUACCCCGAGGAAAAGAAAUCAACCGAGAUUCCCCCAGUAGCGGCGAGCGAACGGGGAGCAGCCCAGAGCCUGAAUCAGUGUGUGUGUUAGUGGAAGCGUCUGGAAAGGCGCGCGAUACAGGGUGACAGCCCCGUACACAAAAAUGCACAUGCUGUGAGCUCGAUGAGUAGGGCGGGACACGUGGUAUCCUGUCUGAAUAUGGGGGGACCAUCCUCCAAGGCUAAAUACUCCUGACUGACCGAUAGUGAACCAGUACCGUGAGGGAAAGGCGAAAAGAACCCCGGCGAGGGGAGUGAAAAAGAACCUGAAACCGUGUACGUACAAGCAGUGGGAGCACGCUUAGGCGUGUGACUGCGUACCUUUUGUAUAAUGGGUCAGCGACUUAUAUUCUGUAGCAAGGUUAACCGAAUAGGGGAGCCGAAGGGAAACCGAGUCUUAACUGGGCGUUAAGUUGCAGGGUAUAGACCCGAAACCCGGUGAUCUAGCCAUGGGCAGGUUGAAGGUUGGGUAACACUAACUGGAGGACCGAACCGACUAAUGUUGAAAAAUUAGCGGAUGACUUGUGGCUGGGGGUGAAAGGCCAAUCAAACCGGGAGAUAGCUGGUUCUCCCCGAAAGCUAUUUAGGUAGCGCCUCGUGAAUUCAUCUCCGGGGGUAGAGCACUGUUUCGGCAAGGGGGUCAUCCCGACUUACCAACCCGAUGCAAACUGCGAAUACCGGAGAAUGUUAUCACGGGAGACACACGGCGGGUGCUAACGUCCGUCGUGAAGAGGGAAACAACCCAGACCGCCAGCUAAGGUCCCAAAGUCAUGGUUAAGUGGGAAACGAUGUGGGAAGGCCCAGACAGCCAGGAUGUUGGCUUAGAAGCAGCCAUCAUUUAAAGAAAGCGUAAUAGCUCACUGGUCGAGUCGGCCUGCGCGGAAGAUGUAACGGGGCUAAACCAUGCACCGAAGCUGCGGCAGCGACGCUUAUGCGUUGUUGGGUAGGGGAGCGUUCUGUAAGCCUGUGAAGGUGUACUGUGAGGUAUGCUGGAGGUAUCAGAAGUGCGAAUGCUGACAUAAGUAACGAUAAAGCGGGUGAAAAGCCCGCUCGCCGGAAGACCAAGGGUUCCUGUCCAACGUUAAUCGGGGCAGGGUGAGUCGACCCCUAAGGCGAGGCCGAAAGGCGUAGUCGAUGGGAAACAGGUUAAUAUUCCUGUACUUGGUGUUACUGCGAAGGGGGGACGGAGAAGGCUAUGUUGGCCGGGCGACGGUUGUCCCGGUUUAAGCGUGUAGGCUGGUUUUCCAGGCAAAUCCGGAAAAUCAAGGCUGAGGCGUGAUGACGAGGCACUACGGUGCUGAAGCAACAAAUGCCCUGCUUCCAGGAAAAGCCUCUAAGCAUCAGGUAACAUCAAAUCGUACCCCAAACCGACACAGGUGGUCAGGUAGAGAAUACCAAGGCGCUUGAGAGAACUCGGGUGAAGGAACUAGGCAAAAUGGUGCCGUAACUUCGGGAGAAGGCACGCUGAUAUGUAGGUGAAGCGACUUGCUCGUGGAGCUGAAAUCAGUCGAAGAUACCAGCUGGCUGCAACUGUUUAUUAAAAACACAGCACUGUGCAAACACGAAAGUGGACGUAUACGGUGUGACGCCUGCCCGGUGCCGGAAGGUUAAUUGAUGGGGUUAGCGCAAGCGAAGCUCUUGAUCGAAGCCCCGGUAAACGGCGGCCGUAACUAUAACGGUCCUAAGGUAGCGAAAUUCCUUGUCGGGUAAGUUCCGACCUGCACGAAUGGCGUAAUGAUGGCCAGGCUGUCUCCACCCGAGACUCAGUGAAAUUGAACUCGCUGUGAAGAUGCAGUGUACCCGCGGCAAGACGGAAAGACCCCGUGAACCUUUACUAUAGCUUGACACUGAACAUUGAGCCUUGAUGUGUAGGAUAGGUGGGAGGCUUUGAAGUGUGGACGCCAGUCUGCAUGGAGCCGACCUUGAAAUACCACCCUUUAAUGUUUGAUGUUCUAACGUUGACCCGUAAUCCGGGUUGCGGACAGUGUCUGGUGGGUAGUUUGACUGGGGCGGUCUCCUCCUAAAGAGUAACGGAGGAGCACGAAGGUUGGCUAAUCCUGGUCGGACAUCAGGAGGUUAGUGCAAUGGCAUAAGCCAGCUUGACUGCGAGCGUGACGGCGCGAGCAGGUGCGAAAGCAGGUCAUAGUGAUCCGGUGGUUCUGAAUGGAAGGGCCAUCGCUCAACGGAUAAAAGGUACUCCGGGGAUAACAGGCUGAUACCGCCCAAGAGUUCAUAUCGACGGCGGUGUUUGGCACCUCGAUGUCGGCUCAUCACAUCCUGGGGCUGAAGUAGGUCCCAAGGGUAUGGCUGUUCGCCAUUUAAAGUGGUACGCGAGCUGGGUUUAGAACGUCGUGAGACAGUUCGGUCCCUAUCUGCCGUGGGCGCUGGAGAACUGAGGGGGGCUGCUCCUAGUACGAGAGGACCGGAGUGGACGCAUCACUGGUGUUCGGGUUGUCAUGCCAAUGGCACUGCCCGGUAGCUAAAUGCGGAAGAGAUAAGUGCUGAAAGCAUCUAAGCACGAAACUUGCCCCGAGAUGAGUUCUCCCUGACUCCUUGAGAGUCCUGAAGGAACGUUGAAGACGACGACGUUGAUAGGCCGGGUGUGUAAGCGCAGCGAUGCGUUGAGCUAACCGGUACUAAUGAACCGUGAGGCUUAACCUU